GGAUGAGCUACUUGGGCUUAGCUCUUUUAGAGGCCAAAGUUUAUUUUCCCUACAAUCCUCCUCACAUGCUUGGGCCCCACCCUGGACUCUUAAUGUAGAAGUAAAAACCGAUGCUGAUAACAGAAAGAAAUGCAUGAUUUUCUUUGGUAACUCAGUACCAUUUCAUCAUUGUCCGUCACGCUGAGGGAUGCCUUAUAAAUUCAAUGGCUCAUGCAAUGGAAACAAAUACUUCCUUUAGUAAGGAUGGCUGUGUUGAAUCUUGGCCUGAAAGAUCUUUGACCUGAAACAAAACUACAACAUCCACAGAAACAAACACUACAUAAAGUGUAUGGAUCUGGAGUGAAGACGAAGUAUCUGGAUGGCAAGACUCUCUGUAUAUUUGUCAUGCAUUCUGAAGUGGUAAUUGAAGGCAUUGAUGUGAGCUAAUAGACUUUUUUCCAAAGGAGUGACCUUAAAAGAAAAAUCAAAGAAAUGUGAAAUCCAAUACUGUAAUAAUAUCACUGCUCUCAAAUCUCCAGGCAGCCUCUAUUGAUUGAUCUGAGUUGGCAGAUGAGUUGGCAGUUUUUUAUCUACAAGUUGGGAAUAAUAUAUGCAUUACGAAGAGAUUACAAGUACUAACUGGAGAAAGCAAUCUGAGACCUUGGCAAAUAAUAGAUUAUCCAACUUAAUUCCAAUAUUAUUAAAAUUAGUGAUCAUUAGCUGGCACUUUACAACAGAAAUGAUCUGAAUAAAUUUUCAACAUAUACAUACUCUGAUAUCAUGACAGAAAAAUGCAAGGGCAGUGACUGGAAGCUGGGAGAGAGGGUCAACAGCUGAAUCUCAGCCUGAUGGAGGCCACCAUUUAAU
RNAcentral lists this non-coding RNA (846 nucleotides) under Pan troglodytes (chimpanzee). Lineage: Eukaryota; Metazoa; Chordata; Mammalia; Primates; Hominidae. The record is from RNAcentral.